AUUGAACGCUGGCGGCAGGCCUAACACAUGCAAGUCGAGCGCGCGGCGGACGGGUGAGUAAUGUAUGGGGAUCUGCCUGAUGGCGGGGGAUAACUACUGGAAACGGUAGCUAAUACCGCAUACCAUCAGAUGAACCAAUAUGGGAGUAGCUUGUAGGUGAGGUAACGGCUUACCUAGGCGACGAUCCAUAGCUGGUUUGAGAGGAUGAUCAGCCACACGUGGACUGAGACACGGCCCAGACUCCGCCGGGAGGCAGCAGUGGGGAAUAUUGCACAAUGGGCGCAAGCCUGAUGCAGCCAUGCCGCGUGUAUGAAGAAGGCCUUCGGGUUGUAAAGUACUUUCAGGCGGGAGGCGUUACCGACAGAAGAAGCACCGGCUAACUCCGUGCCAGCCGCCGCGGUAAUUC
This 406-nucleotide ribosomal RNA is filed under the name uncultured bacterium. Its description in RNAcentral is "partial 16S ribosomal RNA". It matches the Rfam family "Bacterial small subunit ribosomal RNA", at positions 30 to 526 of the family's 1533-position model. The record is from RNAcentral.